RNAcentral lists this long non-coding RNA (42271 nucleotides) under Triticum aestivum (bread wheat). RNAcentral's name for it is "long non-coding RNA (TAES_LNC013558)". Lineage: Eukaryota; Viridiplantae; Streptophyta; Magnoliopsida; Poales; Poaceae. The record is from RNAcentral.
UUUUUUUUUUAAUGUGGAAUGCUACUUAGCAUAUUCUUUAAUGUAAUUUUCUUUAUUAUGGCAUGAAUGUUCAGAUCCGAAAGAUUCAAGAUAAAAGUUUAAUAUUGACAUGAAAAUAAUAAUACUUCAAGCAUACUAACAAAGCAAUCAUGUCUUCUCAAAAUAACAUGGCCAAAGAAAGUUAUCCCUACAAAAUCAUAUAGUCUGGCUAUGUUCUAUCUUCACCACACAAAGUAUUUAAAUCAUGCACAACCCCGAUGACAAGCCAAGCAAUUGUUUCAUACUUUUGAUGUCCUCAAACUUUUUCAAUCUUCACGCAAUACAUGACGUGAGCCAUGGACAUAGCACUAUAGGUGGAAUAGAAUGGUGGUUGUGGAGAAGACAAAAAGGAGAUGAUAGUUUCACAUCAACUAGGCGUAUUAACGGGCUAUGGAGAUGCCCAUCAAUAGAUAUCAAUGUGAGUGAGUAGGGAUUGCCAUGCAACGGAUGCACUAGAGCUAUAGGUGUAUGAAAGCUCAACAAAAGAAACUAAGUGGGUGUGCAUCCAACUCGCUUGCUCACGAAGACCUAGGGCAUUUUGAGGAAGCCCGUCAUUGGAAUAUACAAGCCAAGUUCUAUAAUGUAAAGUUCCCACUAGUAUAUGAAAGUGACAAAAUAAGAGACUCUCUAUCAUGAAGAUCAUGGUGCUACUUUGAAGCACAAGUGUGGAAAAAGGAUAGUAGCAUUGUCCCUUCACUCUUUUUCUCUCAUUUUUUUAUCUGGGCCUUCUCUCUUUUUUUGGCCUCUUUUUUUUCUUUCGUCCGGAGUCUCAUCCCGACUUAUGGGGGAAUCAUAGUCUCCAUCAUCCUUUCCUCACAUGGGACAAUGCUCUAAUAAUGAUGAUCAUCACACUUUUAUUUACUUACAACCCAAGAAUUACAACUCGAUACUUAGAACAAAAUAUGACUCUAUGUGAAUGCCACCGGCGGUGUACUGGGAUAUGCAAUGAAUCAAGAGUGACAUGUAUGAAAGAAUUAUAAAGGUGGCCUUGCCACAAAUACGAUGUCAACUACAUGAUCAUGCAAAGCAAUAUGACAAUGAUGAAGCGUGUCAUAAUAAACAGAACGGUGGUAAGUUGCAUGGCAAUAUAUCUCGGAAUGGCUAUGGAAAUGCCAUAAUAGGUAGGUAUGGUGGCUGUUUUGAGGAAGGUAUAUGGUGGGUAUAUGAUACCGGCGAAAGGUGUGCGGUAUUGGAGAGGCUAGCAAUGGUGGAAGGGUGAGAGUGCGAAUAAUCCAUGGACUCAACAUUAGUCAUAAAUAACUCACAUACUUAUUGCAAAAAUCUAUUAGUUAUCGAAAUGAAGUACUACGCGCAUGCUCCUAGGGGGAUAGAUUGGUAGGAAAAGACCAUCGCUCGUCCCCGACCGCCACUCAUAAGGAAGACAAUCAAUAAAUAAAUCAUGCUCCGACUUCAUCACAUAACGGUUCACCAUAUGUGCAUGCUACGGGAAUCACAAACUUUAGAACAAGUAUUUCUCAAAUUCACAACUACUCAACUAGCAUGACUCUAAUAUCACCAUCUUCAUAUCUCAAAACAAUUAUCAAGUAUCAAACUUCUCUUAGUAUUCAAUGCACUUAUAUGAAUGUUUUUAUCAUAUCCAUCUUGGAUGCCUAUCAUAUUAGGACUAAUUUUAUAGCCAAAGCAAAUUACCAUGCUGUUCUAAAGGACUCUCAAAAUAAUAUAAGUGAAGCAUGAGAGAUCAAUAAUUUCUAUAAAAUAUAACCACCACCAUGCUCUAAAAGAUAUAAGUGAAGCGCUAGAGCAAAAUUGUUUAGCUCAAAAGAUAUAAGUGAAGCACAUAGAGUAUUCUAAUAAAUUCCGAAUAAUGUGUGUCUCUCUCAAAAGGUGUGUACAGCAAGGAUGAUUGUGGUGAACUAAACAAAGACUCAAAUCAUACAAGACGCUCCAAGCAAAACACAUAUCAUGUGGUGAAUAAAAAUAUAGCUCCAAGUAAAGUUACCGAUGAACGAAGACAAAAGAGGGGAUGCCUUCCGGGGCAUCCCCAAGCUUAGACUUUUGGGUUGUCCUUAGAUUUUACCUUGGGGUGCCUUGGGCAUCCCCAAGCUUAGGCUCUUGCCACUCCUUGUUCCAUAAUACAUCAAAUCUUUACCCAAAACUUGAAAACUUCACAACACAAAACUUAACAGAAAAUCUUGUGAGCCCCGUUAGCGAAAGAAAAGAAAACACCACUUCAAGUUACUGUAAUGAACUCAUUAUUUAUUUAUAUUGGUGUUAAACCUAAUGUAUUCCAGCUUCUCUAUGGUUCAUAACCUCCGAUAAUAGCCAUAGAUUCAUCAAAAUAAGCAAACAACACACGAAAAACAGAAUCUGUCAAAAACAGAACAGUCUGUAGUAAUCUGUACCUAACACAAACUUCUGGAACUUCAAAAAUUCUAAAAUAAAUUGCUGGACGUGAGGAAUUUGUCUAUUAAUCAUCUUCAAAAAUAAUCAACCAAAUAUCACUCUCCAGUAAAAAGUUGUAGCUAAUCUCGUGAGCACUAAAGUUUCUGUUUUUUACAGCAAGAUCAAAAAGACUUCACCCAAGUCUUCCCAAAGGUUCUACUUGGCACAAACACUAAUUAAAACAAAAAACCACAUCUAAACAGAAGCUAGAUGGAUUAUUUAUUCCUAAACAGAACCAAAAAUCAAUAAACAAAAAUAAAAUUGGGUUUCCUCCCAACAAGCGCUAUCGUUUAAUGCCCCUAGCUAGGCAUAAAGGCAAGGAUAGAUCUAGGUAUUGUCAUAAUGAUAGUAGGGUAAAUCACGAAAACUCAUCUCAUAUUCCCUACGUUCAGCAGCAAGUUUUCUUUGUGGCAAACAAAAGCAUUCAAAAGGGCUAAAUUUAAUGGGACAAAAGUCCCCAAGAUCAAGCUCGGGAGGUAUGGGUUCCUCCUUUGGCCCUUAUAUUGCACAACCAAUUCAUCAUUAUAAGCAUUCUUUUGGCAAUAAGUCAUGAGCCUUUGUUCAAGAGAAAAACCUAACCCGUUAUUCUGAAUAGCAAAGUCAUCAUUAAGUUCAGAAAUUCUAUCAACUAGAACAUCGGUAGGAACCUUUUUUCUAAGGUUUUCAUUGUAAGCAACAUGAUCUAAGGAUCGUAAGCGCAUUAAGUCGUCUUGAUGAAAAAGGAUAGCCUCUAUGGGAGGACGACCAGCGUCCACCCUAUAAUGCGCAAAAAAAUUAUUGGCCUCUUUCAUUAUAAAUCUGAACUCAUGUGCCAAAAAGAUAGUAGCCGCUCGCUUAACAGAAGAAUGCUCGAUAUUGGAGAACUCUAGAAAAAUCCUUUGUAUGCAAGGAUGCAAAUGAAUAAAUUGUCUUUCAAGUUCGACUACGAGCAAGGAUAUAGCCUCCGCAAGACUACUAGUUCUAUGAAGAAUAGACCCACCCAUAGAGGGUAAGGUACCGGCACAAGUAAAGAAAUCUUGAAGAACUCCUUUCCCAAUAAUAUUACCGCUACCAAUCUGAAACUUUUAAGUGUGUAAAAUAGUAGGAUCUUCAAGAGGAUCAUCAAAAACAUCAAAGUUUUCCAUACUAUUAUCCUUAUCAACGAUAACCUCCCCAGUUUCAGACAUGACGGCAGUACAAAGAACGAACACACAGGAAGCAAGCGAAAAAGAGGCGAACGGAAAAAGAGGGCGAAUAAAACGGCAAGGGUGAAGUGGGGGAGAGGAAAACGAGAGGCAAAUGGCAAAUAAUGUAAUGCGAGGGAUAAGAGUUUGUGAUGGGUACUUGGUAUGUCUUGACUUGUGCGUAGACUCCCCGGCAACGGCGCCAGAAAUCCUUAUUGCUACCUCUUGAGCAUGCGUUGGUUUUUCCCUUGAAGAGGAAAGGGUGAUGCAGCAAAGUAGCGUAAGUAUUUCCCUCAGUUUUUGAGAACCAAGGUAUCAAUCCAGUAGGAGGCCACACUCAAGUCCCUCGUACCUACACAAACAAAUAAGAACCUUGCAACCAACGCGAUAAAGGGGUUGUCAAUCCCUUCACAGCCACUUGCAAAAGUGAGAUCUGAUAGAGAUGAUAAGAUAAUAUUUUUCGUAUUUUUAUGAUAAAGAUUAAAAGUAAAGAUUGAAAAAUAAACGGCGACAGAAAUAGCUAUUUGACGGGAGAUUAAUAUAAUGGAAAAUAGACCCGGGGGCCAUAGGUUUCACUAGUGGCUUCUCUCAAGCUAGCAUAAGUAUUACGGUGGGUGAACAAAUUACUGUCGAGCAAUUGAUAGAAAAGUGCAUAAUUAUGAGAAUAUCUAGGCAUGAUCAUGUAUAUAGGCAUCACGUCCGCAACAAGUGGACCGACUCCUGCUUGCAUCUACUACUAUUACUCCACACAUCGACCGCUAUCCAGCAUGCAUCUAGAGUAUUAAGUUCAUAAGAACAGAGUAACGCAUUAGGUAAGAUGACAUGAUGUAGAGGGAUAAACUCAAGCAAUAUGAUAUAAACCCCGUCUUUUUAUCCUCGAUGGCAACAAUACAAUACGUGUCGUUUCCCCUACUGUCACUGGGAUCGAGCACCGCAUGAUUGAACCCAAAGCUAAGCACUUCUCCCAUUGCAAGAAAGAUCAAUCUAGUAGGCCAAACCAAACUGAUAAUUCGAAGAGACUUGCAAAGGUAACCAAUCAUACAUAAAAGAAUUCAGAGAAGAUUCAAAUAUUGUUCAUAGAUAAUCUUGAUCAUAAACCCACAAUUCAUCGGAUCUCGACAAACACACCGCAAAAAGAGUUACAUCGAAUAGAUCUCCAAGAAGAUCGAGGAGAACUUUGUAUUGAGAUCCAAAGAGAGAGAAGAAGCCAUCUAGCUAAUAAAUAUGGACCUGAAGGUCUGUGGUAAACUACUCACACAUCAUCAGAGAGGCUAUGGUGUUGAUGUAGAAGCCCUCCGUGAUCGAUGCCCCCUCCGGCGGAGCACCGGAAAAGGCCCCAAGAUGGGAUCUCACGGGUACAGAAGGUUGCGGUGGUGGAAAUAGGGUUUCGUGGUGCUCCUAGAUGGUUCGGGUGCGUAGGUAUAUAUAGGAGGAAGAAGUAGGUUGGUGGAGCUACGAGGGGCCCACGAGGGUGGGGGCGCGCCCAGGGGGCCCAAGUCCUAUGGAUCACGUUUGUUCCAAAAAUAACUCUCCUGAAGGUUUCAUUCCAUUUGGACUCCGUUUGAUAUUCCUUUUCUGCGAAACACUGAAAUAGGCAAAAAAACAGCAAUUUGCACUGGGCCUUGGGUUAGUAGGUUAGUCCCAAUAAUAAUAAUAAAGUGUAUAAUAAAUCCCAUUAAACAUCCAAAAUAGAAUAUAUAUAUAUAUAUAUAUAUAUAAUAGCAUGGAGCAAUCAAAAACUAUAGAUACGUUGGAGACGUAUCACUGCCCUUGGACGACUCCGGGUGGUCGCAGCCGCGCUUCAUCUCAGGUUCGGCCGCGAGCACCGCUGGACCCUUGCGCUUCAUGUCCUUUGCCUUGGCUUUCUUGUCUUCUGGGUCGGCCUCCGGAAGCUCCAGGAGGGAGACGCGACCUUCCUCGGCCCUCGCGCACCUGGUUGCCAUGUUGAACAUCUCCAGAGCCGAGCACAGGUCCUCGUGUAUGGCGAGCUCUUCCUUCAUCUUGACAUCGCAGAUGCAAUCGGUGAACGCCGAAAUGAUGGCCUCAUCCGAUACCCGAUCUUGAGGCGAACGUUGCUGAAGCGCUGGCUGUAUUUGUGCAAGAUCUCUCCUGGCUGCUGCUUGAUGUGUCCUAGGUCACCCGCAGCCGGUGCACGGUCGCGAGUGCCCUGGAAGUUGGCGAUGAAGUGCUCCCGCAUGUCGUCCCAGGAGGAGAUCGAUCCCGCAGGGAGGUUUAGGAGCCACGAGCGUGCGCCAUCCUUGAGGGCCAUGGGGGGCCAGUUCGCCAUGACCUUCUCAUCGUUGUUGGUCGCCUUGAUGCUUAGCUCGCAGAGCUGCAGGAACUCGGUUGGGUCGGGGGUGCCUUCGUAGCGUGGAGGCAGGUCUGGCUUGAACUUCUCCCUAGCCAGACGACACGGCGCACCUCCGGGGUGAACGAGCGGCAGCCUGCCACACUCACCGGGGGCCGCCGUGGAGGUGGAGCCUGAUCUUGGCGCUCGCGCACCGCUGCCUCAGGCGGCACGCGGUCUUGAUGUGGCGGUGGUGGGAGCGCACGCGCAUCUCCUUGUAGCCGCUGCACCACCUGACAGCUUUCCUCAUCGCGCGCCGGCGCCCUGCGCAGCGGGUCGCGCCGUGGAGCCUCACGCCUUGGCUCGAGGACGACGUCUUGCUUGGGAGGAGGAGGAGGCGCACCAUGGGCCACGUCGCCCGCAAGGGGCGGCGGGGGCGGCAGCGAGCGGGACGGUGCAAGGGCCUCUCCGGUGGCGCUGACGAGAUCGGCGAUGCAGUCCAGCCAGUCCUCGUAGAGGUCAUCGGUCGGGUGAUAGCGCAGGAGCUCACGUGUCAUGUGCAACGCAGCCUGCACAUUCGCCGGCCCACGACGAGCGUGAGAAGAUGAAGCAGCCGCCAGGGUCUCAGCGACGGAGUGGGGUGCACCCAUCACGCCGCACGGAAGGCUGCAGCAAUGAAGCCUGCUGCUCAUGGGCCGUGGGGCCGAUGGCAGCGUUGGCCACAGGCGAUGGGGAACGGCGGGGAGCUCCACAACCUGCAGGCGCUGUCUGGGUGACGCGGGCGGCGAGGGCGGCCCAGCACUCAGCACGAACUCGACGAGCAUCAGCCAUGGGGACGGCGAAACAGUGGCGGAUCGACCGGAGGAAGAGAGGCUCCGACGCACCCCUACCUGGCGCGCCAAAUGUCGGAUAGGGGGCUCCGCAGACCUAAGAUAGAUCUGAACUCUGGGGUGUGUGCGAAGAACUCAACCUCCCCAGUCUGCCUACCCGUCAAUCUCACGUCCUAGCUCGAUGAACUGGAAGUAAGUGGAACAAGGCAAUUUACCCAGGUUCGGGCCACCUUGCGGUGUAAAACCCUACUCCUGCUUUGUGGUGGAUUGGCCUCGAGGUGGGCUGAGGAUGAACUAGUACAGUGGGAGAACAACCUCUGGAGGUGUGUUCUUGUGCUCGUGUGGGUGAGGAUGGUCUGAAUGAUCCGUCCCCAUCUAAGGUGGUGGCUAGGCUAUAUUUAUAGUGGCCUUGGCCCUCUUCCCCCAAAACGAAGGCGGGAAGGGAUCCCACAAUGGCCAAAUUCGAAGGGAAACAACUAGUACAUCUUAUCCUGACGAAAGGUUGUCUGCGCCUGCAAAGCUUCUGGUCGUGACGCUGUGGUGGGCUCGGCAAUGACCUCCGUCUUGGCGGUCUUGUUCUUGUUGCACGGGAAACCUUUGGCUGAUUCCUCGGGACUCCGCGCCUACGCUUGCCUCUUUAGCACCAAAUAGGAAACCUGCUAUACUGCACCCGCUGGCGCCCGCCUGGCCUUGGUCGUCAUGGCUCGCGUCAUCCAAACCUCACGAGAUGAGGGCUUGCAUAGAAAUCUCCGUUCCUCAGGAGCCAACCUAAUGAGGCUGCUCCUUUUGGAGGCCUUGACGUCGUCCGCCUCAUGAGGCUUGGCCCCUCGCAAGGGUCUUGUGUUGUUGCCGCUGAAGGUGGGUCAUACCAGGCCGUUGAUGGAGCCAUGCCGUGGGCCGCGGACAGGCAAGUCUGGGUACCCCGGUUCCCAGAAUGCCGACAGGAUCUCCCGCGGAAGUCGCUGGCCCCUUUGACAUCUGCCUCGAACGGUACUACCCCUCCCCUGAGCGGUACUACCACUUGUAGGCGGUACUACCGUGGGAGGUGCGGUACUACCGCUCUGAGCUUCCAACUUCAGAUUUUCUCCAUUUUAUCUUCACUCUUGUGUAUCUUUUUCUCUUGGCUUAUGCAAUUUGUCUCUUUCUUGUUCUUGUUUGUGUGUUCUAGGUGGUAGUAGCUCCGGACAUCAGGUCGUCGCAAGAACCCCGCCCUUACCGAUGGCUCCAAGCGCUACCGUUCUGCAAAUGUGCCUGUAGGCAGCACCAUUCCAGAGGGUGGCUUUGUGCCUGCUCAUGCCUCUGGUGAAUAGCCAAGACAGAGAGUCAAAGUGGUUGCAACCAAGAACAAGGGGCCCAAGGGUGCUCAUCAGAUGUCUGCUUUGGAGUUUGGUACAGCUCAUAAGCGCAAUCCGUACCGGGAGCCUCAAGAUCCUGCUCUUUUUCAUCAUAUGUUCUGGAACAUGUUUCAACAGUCCAUCUUCCAUGAUGUGUUGAAGACUAAGAAGAAUAUGUAUGUGAAAGUGAAGUCAGUUGAUCUCUCUCACAUGGAGACGGACUUGCCUUACUUUUGAGAGGAUCUUCAGAGGUGCGAGGAACUGGAUAUCAAGAGGAUCAUAUCAUUCAACAAGGAUUUUGAUGCGGAUCUUGUGGCCCAAUUCUAUGCCAUAGUUCACUUUGGGCAUGAUGAGGACAGGACCCUCUCCUGGAUGACAAAUGGACAACGCUUCUCUGCUUCUUGGAAGAACUUUAUGGCGUUGAUGUCUUAUGAGGAUAAGGGCGCCCAAACCCCAGUUGGGUUUCGCCCUCACCGGGAGGCCACUGCUACUCACAAGGAGGCUCUGUGGCAGUUCUCUACCCGGAAGGUUUCUGAGACUAGACAUGUCUCCUAUGAGCUUUGGCCUUUUCUGGAUAUCAUGCACAGGAUCUUCAGGAACACUCCAUUCCCUCGGGUUGGAAAUCAGGAUAUGGUGCAUUCCUAUCUGCUGGAACUUCUUCUCUUCUGCCAGAAGGAGAAGGGCUCUCAGGAAGUUCUAGAUGUGUCUCGUGUCAUGCGGUCGAAGCUCCGGUGUGCGAUCUUGGAGUGCAAGUGCAUCAUUUAUGGCCCUUACCUGAUGCAGCUCAUUGAGGAGACAUGGGCAUCUACGUUUCCAGAUGAGGAGCUUCUCACUGGAGACCUAGAGUCUCAUGAUGUUGUUUAGUUGAGGCAGAAGGAGAAGUGGGGAAUGGCAGCUUCUGCCCCACAAGUAUGGUAUGGGGAUGAUGAAGAUGAUGAGCCUGGCUAUGAGCCGUCGGAGGAGCCAUCUUGGGAUAAGAACCUAAAGCAGAUGAUGAAGAAGCUCUUUUGUCUCCAGGCCAAGGGACAGUACAAGGCUCAUGUUGCUGCUAAGAAGGCCCGCUGCCGUGACAAGGCCAUUAUGGGGCAGGUUGGCCUCACCGUGUCUGAUGGCUCUGAGGAGAGGAUAACUGAUGAGGAGGCUUGGGUUCAUGUGCACUGCCAGUGGACUGAUUCAGAUGAUGGUACUGGAGGCCCUUCAGCUGCUGCCGCAGAGUCUGACGAGGAGGAGGAGCAUGAUUGGUGAUGUCGUGGAGUAUUGCUACCACCGUCAUGUUUAGGUGUCCUCUCUACUCUUUUGGUGUCUCGAUGCCAAAGGAGGAGAGAGUGUAGGGAUUUGCGGUGUGUUGUGAGUUGAGUGUGUUUCUCUUUUUGCAGUUGCUUUCCUCGCUCGAACUCGUUUGCUUUGGUUUGUGUUUGAGACCAUAUGGGGUGAGACAUAUGAGCUAAGCUAUCCAUUUCUAUCUAUGUCAAGUACUUUAUGUUAAGUAAUCGUUUGUGAGAUAUAUCUUGUGUAUGCUCUCAUUCAUAUGCUCACAUAGUUUCUCUUGCAUGCUUUCAUCUUACUAUCUAUGCAAGUACGGUUUGGUCUAUAAAAUAUAGGGGGGGUGGAUCCUAUAUGUGUGCAUUUUGCAUUCCAAAAGCAUAUCUAAACUAGUGCACACAUCUAGGGGGAGCAUGUCUAUAUUUUGUAGAUUGUGGGGUUUGCUCAUCUCUUAUUGUUAUAUCUUCUGUGCAAAUCCCUCGUCAUCAGUCCACCAAAAAGGGGGAUAUUGUUAGGGCAUAUUUCUCCCUAAGUGGUUUUGGUAAUUGAUGACAAUAUGUUUGCGGACUAAUCGUGUGCACUAAGCUUUUCAGAUUAUCAAGCAUAUAGCACAAGACGAUUCGUGCCCCUCGGAGUUUCAAGAGAAGACGGUUUUCUUUCCCGCGGUUCUUUUCUGGUGGACUUGAGUCGUAGGGAAAACCGUACUAUCAAGAGGGGGUCCACGUCGAAAGGUUUGGGUGGAAUCAACACGUACACAUUCAUCUUGCACCCAUCAACCCCUUCCGCGUCUUUGGAGUUGUCCUUGUUUUGCUUUGAAGUAGGGGAGAAGAGCCACAAGCGGUAGUACCGCUAGCUGCAGCGGUAGUACCACUGUAACCACCGUUCUCACUACUGCUCGUGGCUAGGACCUCGAUUUUUCGUGUCGGGCUCUACGGUGGUGCCUCCGGGUUACUACCGUGCUACUCGUUCGUCCCCAGAAUUUGGGCGGUUGUAGCAGCGGUAGUUAGGGAGGUAGUACCGCUCCUACUACCGCGGCCACCACCGCCCGGCUCUCUGGUUUUCCCCUAUUCCCCUUUGUCUCCUAUGCAUCCUUCAGGGUGCGGUAGUACCGCUCCUGGAGCAGUUGUACCGCUUGUCUGCGGGCUGAGAGAUGCAUAACGGUUGGAUUUGUCCCCCCACUAUAAAAGGGGGUCUUCUUCCCCAAGAAGACUCACCUCUUCCCCCCCCCCCAAGCUCCAUUAUUGCUCCAAAGCUCAUUUCCGCCCGAUCUCUCUCCCUAGCCAAUGAAACUUGUUUAUUUUCUAGGGAUUGGUUGAGAAGGCCUUGAUCUACUCUUCCACCAAGAGAAAUUUGAUUCCCCCAACUAAUCCCUUGCAGAUCUUGUUACUCUUGGGUGUUUGAGCACCCUAGACGGUUGAGGUCACUUCGAAGCCACAUUCCAUUGUGGUGAAGCUCUAUGGUAUCGUUGGGAGCCGCCAAUCAAGUUGUUGAGAUUGCUCCAACCUUGUUUGUAAAGGUCUGGUCGCCACCUUCAAGGGCACCACUAGUGGAAUCACCGCAUCUCGCAUUGUGUGAGGGCGUGAGGAUAAUACGGUGGCCCUAGUGGCUUCUUGGGGAGCAUUGUGCAUCCACAUCGCUCCAACGGAGACGUACUUCCCCCAAAGGGAAGGAACUUCCGUAACACAUCCUCGUCUCCACCGGCUCCACUUGUGGUUAUCUCUUCCCUUUACUUUGUGCAAGCUAUUGUUGUGUUGUAUCCUUUGCUUGCACUUCUUGUUGUUGUUGUUGUUGUUGUUUGCAUCAUAUAGGUUGCUCACCUAGUUGCACAUCUAGACAACCUAUUUGUUGCUAAACCUAUUUUGUUAAGAAAAUAUAAAAAUUGGUAGUUGCCUAUUCACCCCCCCACUAGUCAACCAUGUCGAUCCUUUCAAUUGGUAUCAGAGCCUCAUCUCUUUAUAUCUCAAAACAAAUGAAAGGAAUCAAACUUCUCAUAUAUUCAAUGCUCUUUAUAUGAAAGUUUUUUAUUAUAUCCCUCUUGGAUGCCCAUCAUAUUAGGACAAAAUUCAUAACCUAAGCAAAUUACCAUACUAUUUAUAAGACUCUCAAAAUGAUAUAAGUGAAGCAUGAGAGUUCAUCAAUUUCUUGAAAAUAAAACAACCGUCGUGCUCUAAAAAGAUAUAAGUGAAGCACUAGAGCAACUGACAAACUACUCCAAAAAGAUAUAAGUGAAGAUCAUUGAGUAGUUGAAUAAUUAUGUAGCUAUGUGAGGACUCUCUCUCAUUAAAUAAUUUCAUAUCUUAAUAUUUUAUUCAAAUGGCAAGCAAAAUGAAAUAAAAUGACAUUUCAAGAAUAGCACAUAUCAUGAGAAGAAGCAAAAACUUAGGCUCAACCGAGGCUAACUGAUAAUUGUUGAUGAAGAAAGGUGGGAUGCCUACCAGGGCAUCCCCAAGCUUAGAUGCUUGAGACCUCUCGAAAUAUUAUCUUGGGAUGCCUUGGGCAUACCCAAGCUUGAGCUUUUGUGUCUCCUUAAUUCCUUUUAUAUCACAAUUUCCCUAAAUCUUAAAAACUUCAUCCACACAAACUCAACAAGAACUCGUGAGAUAAGUUAGUAUAAAUCAAUGCAUAACCUUAUUAUUCUCUAGUGUAGCAAAUCACUAAAAUUAUUAUUUAGCAUUGCAUACUAAAUGCCUCUGCAUAUUUAAUACUCCUAUCCUCAAAUAGAAUCAUUAAACACGCAAACAUAUGCAAACAAUGCAAACAUAACAGUAAUAUGUCUAAACAGAACAGUCUAUAAAGAAUGCAAGAGGAAUCAUACUUCCCUAACUCCAAAAAUUCUGAACAAUUAUCACACUGUAGAAAAAAAAAUAUUGCUCAACGUGUAAAAAUUUCAAGAUUUUAUCAUGCUCUGAGUUUCCAGAAGAAUUCAGACAAUGAUAGAAAACUUUCUGUUUUCAAAACAGCAACAUAUAGACUUGCAAAAUAAGCAUGGUAAAGGCUAUACUUGACACUUUUAUUGAAAUAAAAGAUGCAAAACAUUAUUCUAAAUAACAGCAACCAAAUCCUAAUAAAAUAAAAUAAUGCUCCAAUGAAAACUCAUAUCAUGUGACGAAUAAAGAUAUAGCUCCAAGUGAGGUUACCGAUAACGUUGGAGACGAAAGAGGGGAUGCCUUCCGGGGCAUCCCCAAGCAUAGUUGCUUGGGUAUUCCUUGAAUAUUACCUUGGGGUGCCUUGGGCAUCCCCAAUAUUAGGGUCUUGCCACUGCUUAUGCUCCUCAUGUCAAUAUCUCACCCAAAACUUGAAAACUUUAAUCAGACAAAACUUAACAAAACUUCAUGAGAUAGGUUAGUAUGACAAAACAAAUCAUUCACUUGGGUGUUGUCAAAGACAAGAUUCACAAUUUUUCUCACACAAUGCCUAAUUUACCUUAUCAUUUCCAUGAUUUAUGUCACUUACUAUAAGUCAUGGAAACACUAAAACAAGCAAACUAUGCAUUGAAAACAGAAUUUGUCAAAAACAGAACAAUCUGUAAUGAUCUGAACAAUGACCAUACUUCUGUAGAUCCAAAAAUUCUGAAAUACUAGGAAAACGUACGCAAUUUUUAUAACAAUCUUCUGUAAAAACUUCAGAAUUGUUCGACGCUCCACUGUUUUUUAACAAUUCUAUUACUGGGCGCAAAAGUUGCUGUUUUUGCAUAGAAUCAAGUCAACUAUCAUCCACACUAUCCCAAAGGCUUUACUUGGUACUUUAUUGAAACAACAGCUAUAAAACAUGAUUACUACAGUAGCUUAAUCAUGUGAACACACGAAAACAGUAGGUAUAAGAUUGGGUUGUCUCCCGACAAGUGAUUUUCUUUAAUGCCUUUGUAGCUAGGCAUGAUGAUUUCAAUGAUGCUCGCAUAAAAGAUAAGAAUUGAAACACAAAGAGAGCAUCAUGAAGCAUAUGACUAGAACAUUUAAUCCUAACCCACUUCCUACGCAUAGGGAUUUUGUGAGCAAACAACUUAUGGGAACAAGAAUCAACUUGCAUAGGAAGGCAAAACAAGCAUAACUUCAAGAUUUUCAACACAUAGAGAGGAAAGUUGAUAUUAUUGCGAUAUAUAUAAGCAUAUCUUCCCCUCUCAUAAUAUUUUUUAGUAGCAUCAUGAAUGAAUUCAACAAUAUAGCUAUCACAUAAAGCAUUCCUUUCAUGAUCCACAUGCAUACAAAAUUUAUUACUCUCCACAUAAGCAAAUUUAUUCUCAUCAAUAGUAGUGGGAGCAAACUCAACAAAAUAACUAUCGCAUGAUACUUGAUUGGGGUAAUCCAAUUGAAAAUUGAAAUCACGAUGACAAGUUUCAUGGUUAUCAUUAUUCCUUAUAGCAUACAUGUCAUCACAAUAAUCAUCAUAGAUAGCAACUUUGUUCUCAUAAUCAAUUGGAACCUCUUUCGAAAUAGUGGAAUCAUCAUUAAAUAAAGUCAUGACCUCUCCAAAUCCACUUUCGGAAUUAUAACAAUAAAAUUCAACACCCUCCAAAAUAGUGGGAUCAUUAUUUCCUAGAGUCGACACUCUUCCAAACCCACUUUCAUCAAUAUAAUCAUCAUAAAUAGGAGGCAUGCUUUUCAUCAUAAUAAAUUUUCUCAUCAAAACUUGGGGGACUAAGAAUAUCAUCCUUAUCAAACAUAGAAUCCCCAAGCUUAUGACCUUGCAUAUCAUUAGCAUCAUGGAUAUUCAAAUAAUUCAUACUAACAACAUUGCAAUCAUGCUCAUCGUUCAUGGAUUUUAUGCCAAACAUUUUAUUGACUUCUUCUUCUAACACGUUGGCACAAUUUUCCGAGCCAUCGUUUUCGAGAAAGACAUUAUAAAGAUGAAUUAUAUGUGCCAACCUCAAUUCCUUUUUUCAGUUUUAUUUUAUAAUACAAACUAGUGAUAAACAAGAAACUAAAAUAUUCAAUUGCAAGAUCUAAAGAUAGACCUUCAAGCACUCACCUCCCCGGCAACGGCGCCAGAAAAGAGCUUGAUGUCUACUAUGCAACCUUCUUCUUGUAGACUCGUGUUGGGCCUCCAAGCGCAGAGUUUUGUAGGACAGUAGCAAUUUUCCCUCAAGUGGAUGACCUAAGGUUUAUCAAUCCAUGGGAGGCGUAGGAUGAAGAUGGUCUCUCUCAAACAACCCUGCAACCAAAUAACAAAGAGUCUCUUGUGUCCCCAACACACCAAAUACAAUGGUAAAUUGUAUAGGUCCACUAGUUCGGCGAAGAGAUGGUGAUACUAGUGUAAUAUGGAUAGUAAAUAUAGGUUUUUGUAAUCUGAAAAUAUAAAAAAGCAAGGUAACUAGUAGUAAAAGUGAGUAAAAAAGUAUUGCAAUGCUUGAAAAUAAGGCCUAGGGUUCAUACUUUCACUAGUGCAAAAUCUCUCAACAAUGAAAACAUAAUUGGAUCAUAUAACAAUCCCUCAACGUGCAACAAAUAACCACUCCAAGGUUUCUAUCGGAGAACAUAGGACGAAAACGUGCAUCAACCCCUAUGCAUAGAUGUCACCUCGGGAAUCCGCGAGUUGAGUGCCAAAACAUACAUCAAGUGAAUCAAUAGAACAUCCCAUUGUCACCACAGAUAUCCCAUCGCAAGACAUACAUCAAGUGUUCUCAAAUCCAAUACUCAAUCCAACAUAAUGAAACCUCAAAGAGCAAGACUGAAUUCAUCACAAGUAGGUAGAGGGGGAACAACACCAUAAUAUCCAACUAUAGUAACAAAGCUCGCGGUACAUCAAGAUUGUGCCAAAUCAAGAACACGAGAGAGAGAGAGAGAGAGAGAGAGAGAGAGAGAUACAGAGAGAGAAAGAGAUCAAACAGAUAGCUACUAGUACAUACCCUCAGCCCCUCAUCAUGGUGGCCGCCGGGAUGAUGGACAUGGCCUCCGGUGAUGGCUUCCCCCUCCGGCAGGGUGCCAAAAUGGGCUCCCAACUGGUUUUUCGUGGCUACUGAGGCUUGUGGCGGCGGAACUUCCCAUCUGGGGUUCUUUAUGGAUGUUACGGGAUAUAUAGGGGUACUUGGCAUUGGAAACAAGUCAGGGGGUGCCCGAGGGGCCCACAAGAAGUAGGGGCACACCCUGGGGGGGUGGGCGCGCCCCCUAGCUUGUGGCCUCCUCGGUCGCCUCCUGACACAACUCUGGUGCUCCAUGGGUCUCUUCUGGUCCAUAAACGAUCACCAUAAAUUUUCAGCCCACUCCGAGAACUUUUAUUUCUGCACAAAAAACGACACCACAGAAGUUCUGCUGAAAACAGCCUUAGUCCAGGUUAUUUCUAAUAAAAUCAUACCAAAACCAUAUAAAAUUGUUGCAAACAUGGCAUGAAUACUUCAUAAAUUAUAGAUACGUUGGAGACAUAUCACUUCACCAUGAUUUGUGCCUAGGGGGAGGCAUUGGGAAGUAGCAAGUAGAUGUUGGGUUGCUAGAGGGACAGAGCUUAAACCCUAGGUUAUGCGUUGCUUCGUAAGGGGCUGAUUUGGAUCCACAUGUUUCAUGCUAUGGUUAGAUUUAUCUUAAUUCUUCUUUCGUAGUUGCAGAUGCUUGCGAGAGGGGUUAAUCAUAACUGGGAGGCUUGUCCAAGUAAGGACAGCACCCAAGCACCGGUACACCUACAUACCAAAUUAUCAAAGUAGCGAACGCGAAUCAUAUGAGAGUAUGAUGAAAACUAACUUGAUGAUAAUUCCCAUGUGUCCUUGGGAGCACUUUGCUUUAUAUAAGAGUUCGCCCAGGCUUGUUCUUUGUAUAAAAGGAUUGGGCCACCUUGCUGCACCUCUGUUACACUUGUUAUUUGUUACCCGUUAUGAAUUACCUUACUACCAAACUAUCUAUUACCGAUAAUUUCAGUGCUUGCAAAGAAUACCUUGCUGAAAACUGCUCGUCAUUUCCUUCUGCUCCUUGUUGGGUUCGACACUCUUACUUAUCGAAAGGACUACGAUUUAUCCCCUAUAAUUGUGGGUCAUCACCUCCUUCUGAAGCUUCUAGGGUCUCUUAUGUCCAGAAAAAAUCGUCAAAAAGUUUCGUGGCAUUUGGUCUUCGUUUGGUACUGAUAUCCUGGAAAACCAAAAACAGGAAAAAAAACUGCAACUGGCACGUGGCACUAAGUUAAUAGGUUAGUCCCAAAAAAUGAUAUGUAAUUGCAUAUAAAACAUCCAAGAUUGAUACUAUAAUAGCAUGGAACAAUAAAAAAUUAUAGAUACGUUGGAGACGUAUCAGUGAGCCUUUUUCUGGCCAACUGGGUUAGAGAUGGUGCUGACAAAGGUAGCCCAAGUAGAAUAGAUACCGUCAACUAGAUAGUAGCCCAUGUCCAUUGACACUAUAGUGGUAAGGAGGAACUUUUUCUUCAAUCAGCCUCGCAAACACCAGUGAUAAUCGCCACAGCACGUUGAUGUCGUUGUUGGAAAUAUGCCCUAGAGUCAAUAAUAUUGUAUUAUUAUAUUUCCAUAUUCAUAAUUAAGUGUUUAUAUUUCAUGCUAUAACUGCUAUGAUCCUGGAAUAUGUGAUUCAAUGGAAAACUCAUAUGCACGUGUGAAAUGAUAAACGAAUCGAAUAAAGGUUCCUAGUCUCACCUCUAAGAGUAGCUCAAGUGUUGUUGGUGAUCAUGUUUUCCGGAUCUUAGGGUAUCAUUAAGUGUAACGAUAGUCCUAAAACAACAUUGAGAUUAUGACGUUGGAAGAACGAUCAUAUUGAAUCGACCAGAACUUCUUUGUUAUGAAUUGAGAUAAUAUCAUCUGUAAUUAAUUAUAAUAACACGGAGUGUUAAUGUGUGAUUUUACUCCUUAGACUAUGAGAGUAUUGUGGUCACUUCUUACCAUAUGGUGGGCGUUGGGGUUGCUCAAACAUCACCUGUAACACAGCGAUCAUAAUGACAACUUACAGGUUCAUCGGAAAGUUUGACAAGUGGCGGGAUAGCUCGAGAGUGGGAUUUGCUCCUCCGGUGAUGAAGAGAUAUUCUUAGGGCCCUCUCAGUGUGACGACAUCCAUCAUCGUCCGUCCAGACAUAGGUGACUACAUCACGGGGAUGCCGGAACGUAAUAACGAGAAAGAAGAACAAAAUCGGUAACGAGGAUUUCAGUAUAGUGAGCACAGUGAUGACUCUGGAGGAUACCGAUGCAUCCCGGGUUUUGUAAAGUAUCGCGAAGCAAAGGGAACAUCACAUGAUAACCAUAGGUUCACUUGAGUAUCAUUCGUGUGCUCAUAGGGAUUGAUAUGGAUGUCCACUGUCCCGCUGUCAGUCAUUAAACGAACGAUUUCGUUCAUGUCUAUGUGUUAUCGAACCUACGGGGUCACAAGCUUAAGGCAAUCAUGAUCUGCUGAGUGUUAGUACGACGGGAGUAAUGAGAAUAUAUUUGUGGAUUUUUUUCAUUAAUAUUCGAAAUAGUUCUCAGAGGAUCAGGAAGCGUUUCGGGGUCACCGGAAGGGUUUCGGUGAAUAUCGGGUAAUACCGGGUAUUAUCGAUAAAUAUAUAUGUGUGGAAAAUGUUUUUGGGAUGUUAAAUUAUAUAUAAAAUGGUCUGAAAGUAUUUAUAAUAAUAUUAUAUUUAAUUUAAUAUCAACGGACCUAAAAAGGCUAAGAGGUGAAAGGCAACUUGGGCCACAAAGGCCCAAGUGGGAAGGCGCCUCCCUUCCCUAAGAAAGGAGGCUGAAUAGGAGUGGGGGAGGAGUCCAACUCCUCCUCCCCUUUGGCCGGCGCCCCAAGGAGGCUUUCCCUCCUUGGUGGAAGCCCUCUCUCUCCCCUCUAACCUAUAUAUACUUGAGGAUUUGUGCUCUUUUGGUACACAAGUUUUGGAGCCUCCUCUAGUUCUUCUAGUUCUUGUUCUAGUUGGUCCUAGUUGACUAAUUAGAGCUUGGCUAAUACUCUUGUCCUCAUAAUUAGAAGCCCUGUAUGGUUCUAAUCUCCUCCCUCUAAUUCUUCACCGACGAUUAGCUCUGGAUGGUGAAGCGUUGUUGGAUCGUGAAGGUUGCAUGCUUGCAACCAGGUAGAGAGGUCCUACUUUCGGUCUUCGUUCAAGGGACCGUUCGUGGGCGGUACGAGGGAUCGUUCAUUGAAGGUUCAAGGGAAUCCAAGUACGAUCUACACUGAUCUUCUGCCGCUGCAACUCGGUGACGGUAAUGAUCGUGAUCCCAACCCGUUAUGCAUCUUCGUAUUGAUCUUGGGUGAUAGUAGGCGCGAUUUUUUUUGUUUUCUACUACGUUUCCCAAUAGUCAUUGUGAGACCCGGACAUGCCAAAUCGAAAGAUCAUGUGAUGCAACUGCUUCAAGAAUGAUGGUGGGUUUCUUAACAUGAUGUAACACCCCGCAUGUAACUUGCCAUAUUUGUAACUCCGACUCUUGCCAUUUUCGGCAAUGUGAUAUGUUUUUCCCUCCGUUGUCGGGUUUUGUUUUUCGUUUUGUAUUUUGUCAUGUCAUGCAUUUUUAUAUCAUGUCAUCAUGUGCAUUGCAUUCGCAUACGUGUUCGUCUCAUGCAUCCGAGCAUUUUCCCCGUUGUCCGUUUUCCAAUCCGGCGCUCCUAUCUCCUCCGGUGCACCCCUCUAGUUUUCUUUCGUGUGCGUGUGUCAAACAUUCUCGGAAUGGACCGAGGCUUGUCAAGUGGUCUUAAUAUACCACCCGGAGUCUACCGGUCAAGUUUCGUUCCAUUCGGAGGUCGUUUGGUACUCCAUCGGUUAACCGGGCCUCCGCAAUGUCCAUUUGAGUAUCCAGCAAAAACCCCUCCAAAACCAGCCCAAAGCCCACCAAACUCUCUUCCAUGCUCUAGGUCGUUCGAUCACGAUCGUGUGGGCGAAAACCGCACCUCAUUUGGAGUCUCCUAGCUCCCUCUACCUAUAAAUGAGUGGGCAUCCCGAAAACGAAAUCUCAGANNNNNNNNNNGCCGCGCGCCCCGGCCGCCGCCGACCGCCGCCGCGCCCGCGCCUCUCCUCCUCCGGCCCGAGGCGCCGCCUCCUUCCUCUUCUUCCCCGGCCGCCGCGCCUUCCCCGCAGCUCCGGCGAGCUCCACCGGCUUCGGCCCGAUCCGGAUCCGCUCGAACACUGUACGUGCGUUGACCUCUCCCUCGCGACCGUUUUUUUCCAAGUCCCAGAUUUUUAUCAGCAAGUGCUCCUGUUCGAGAUGCGAUAACUUUGUGCAUGUAGCUCCGAUUUGCGCGUAUAAUAUGUAAAAUUGUUCCCCUCGUGAUGCUCUUCAUUUUGUUCAAUUGCACCAUUUUCAUUAGAGGUCAUCUUGAUGCCCAAAUAUUCGUUGGAAGAGGGCUAGUUGCUGUUAAUCUCUGGUUCUUGUCAGAACUUGGAGAUUUGUCAUUUUUGUAUCAUUUAAUCUGUGCAUCUUUUGGGCAUGAGCUCUACAUGUGUUUUUAAGUAUGCUAUUCCAUCUUUCCAGUGGUAUAGUACAUGUAUUUUUGUGGCCUUUGUGGUGACUAGCACAAGCAUGCAAAGUAGGCCCCGUAAUAUUUCUGAUUUCAGGGACUUAGUGAUUUCUCCAAGUCUUUGUCUGCUGUAAUUUUGUUGCCAUGUAAACUUGAUGCUAGAGAGAGAUCCAUGCAUAGUUUGGAGAUGUUCAGUAAGGAUGUUUUGUAGCUAUAGUUGUAAUUGAUCCAUUCCUGCAAUGUUUUGCAAUUUUAGAGUACCAUAGCAUGACUCAAUCUUUCUCUACUUUUGCUAUAAAAUAUUUCUGGCAGAUUCUUAACAUGAUUUGCAAUCUUGCCAAGCUUGUUGUAGUUGAUCCAUACAUGCUAUGCAAUUGUUCUUGCCAUGGUUAGCUUCAUAGACAUUCCAUCUUACUGUAGGUAUGCUUGGUUUGUCAUGCAUUGUUCUGUAGUGAGUGCAUCAAGCUCAUAAAGAGGCCUACAUAUUAAUAUUUCUGCCAUGCUCUGUUUUCUGCUAAGUCUGAAACCUGAUAACGAAACUUGCUAUGUUUACAUGCUUGCCAUCAUAUCUUCUGGUCCUUUUUGGCUUGUGGUCAGUAAGGGACUUUUGUCAUGUGCAUUUAGUAGAACACUACCAUGCCAUUUUUUGCUAUGUUAAGUUUCUUUAGCAUAUUGAUUUCGUGCUCUGAACAUUGCUACCUGAUGCUGAUUUCUACCAUGUCCAGUUUUUCACUAAGUCUGUGAACCUGUAAUCUUUUGCACUUUUGCCAUGCUUGUUUGAGCUUGAUAUGUUGUGAACUAGCCGUAGCUCAGUGUUCAUCUUUUNNNNNNNNNNUCUUAUUUAACCCCCCCACCCCCCCGGGCCAGUGCUCCUUCGAGUGUUGGUCCAAACUGAGCAGACUGCGGGGCCACCUCCUGGAAACUCGAGGUCUGGUUUUACUCGUAGGAUGUCUCAUCCGGUGUGCCCUGAGAACGAGAUAUGUGCAGCUCCUAUCGGGAUUUGUCGGCACAUUCGGGUGGCUAUGCUGGUCUUGUUUUACCAUUGCCGAGAUGUCUUGUAAACCGGGAUUCCGAGACUGAUCGGGUCUUUCCGGGAGAAGGUUUAUCCUUCGUUGACCGUGAGAGCUUAUGAUGGGCUAAGUUGGGACACCCCUGCAGGGUAUUAUCUUUCGAAAGCCGUGCCCGCGGUUAUGAGGCAGAUGGGAAUUUGUUAAUGUCCGGUUGUAGACAACUUGUCACUUGACCCAAUUAAAAUACACCAAGUGCGUGUGUAGCCGUGAUGGUCUCUUCUCGGCGGAGUCCGGGAAGUGAACACGGUAUGUGUUAUGUAUGACGUAAGUAGGUGUUCAGGACCUCUUCUUGGUCAUUGCUAGAUGACGUCCGUUCCUUUGCUUCUCUUCCCGCUCUCUUUUGCGCAAGUUAGCCACCAUAUAUGUUUUGCCGCUGCAGCUCCACCUCUUGCACCUCCUUGUCCUACAAGCUUAAAUAGUCUUGAUCUCGCGCGCGUGAGAUUGCUGAGUCCUCGUGACUCACAGAUACUUCCAAAACCAGUUGCUGGUGCCGACGAUGCCAGUGCAGAUGAUGGCGUCGAUCUCAAGUGGGAGUUCGACGAGGAACGUGGUCGUUACUAUGUGUCUUUUCCUGAUGAUCAGUAGUGGAGCCCAGUUGGGACGAUCGGGGAUCUAGCUUUUGGGGUUGUCUUAUUUUCAUCUGGAUUUUGACCGUAGUCGGUCUAUAUGAUUGUAUUUUGAAUGAUGAAUGAUGAUAUUUAUUAUGUAUUGUGUGAAGUGGCGAUUGUAAGCCAACUCUUUAUCCCAUUCUUGUUCAUUACAUGGGAUUGUGUGAAGAUGACCCUUCUUGCGACAAAACCACUAUGCGGUUAUGCCUCUAAGUCAUGCCUUGACACGUGGGAGAUAUAGCCGCAUAGUGGGCGUUACACAUGACCCUGAUAUUGCCCUUGUAAAGCCUUCGAGUAGUUCUUCCAUUUUCAAUGCAUACAGUGAAGAGACCCAAGCAAACCUGGCCACCCUCUUGCUUCUGAGAUUUCCAAGAGCCUCUUUGUGUCUGUCACAGUUGGUUCACUCAGGUACCGACGUCCGAACACCUCGACCACAACAGUUGCAAACUUGACCAUGACAUCUCUGCAUGUGCUCUCAGACAUUCGUAGGUACUCGUCCCACGAAUUAGCGGCCAUGCCAUAUGCAAGUAUCCAGAGUGCGGCCGUGCACUUCUGGUAACCAGAGAAGCCAAUCAUUCCCACAAUGUCCUUCUUCAAGACAAAGUAGUCAUCAUAGUACUGGACGCCAUGGUACAAACGACCGAAGACAGCCGUGCGCAUUCGAAAACGCCGAGGAAAAUGAUCAACGGAGAGUGCAUCUAGGGCAAAGUAGUCGGCCAGCAGCUCUUGCGGUUGAGCACUCGAUGACCCUUGACCGAGCCCUUGAAUUUGAGAACAUGCUCCUCCGCACGCUCCACAUCUUCAAGGACCGCCUGCAUCAUCACCGUCUCAUCCGAGUACUCCUCCUCAUAGGACGACUCAACAUAGUGCUCGUAUAUGUACUCCAAAUCGGAAUCCAUUGCUAGAAAGAAGAAGGGACAACUUUUUUAGCUCCGGCAAUUCAUCGAACAAGUGACGGGCAUGGUAAGUAUAGCAGUAGCGAAUGGUACCUGGCGGGGCGGUCGGAGGAGAAGGGUUCAGCAACGACGGAGGAGAAGUGGGGUGGGGCCCGGCUGGAACGUUGGAGGUGACGGAGAUGUAGAGCUCCGGCUGAGGUGUGGUGUGGCGGCCGGGAUGGUGGAGCGGCGGCCCAAGCAAGAGAGAAAGAAGGAGAGAAAAUGGGAAGGACGGAGGCGCGAGGUCCGGAAAGGGUUUUGGGUGGGCUGGGGGUGUUGGAGUCCUACGUGUCCGCUGUCUGGACUCCCGCAAAGCUCCCCAUGUUUGUCUCUGGUUCACGGAAGAAAAUCAUCCGGACCACCUGUAGAUCAAUACAAGACCACGUUGGAUAACUUUUGCGGGCCGAACAGUACGGUACGAACCUAUGCAGGCGGUUUGCGGGUCUGUCUUGAAGAUGGCCUAAGAGCAACUCCGAUUGGGCAACCCAGACGGACGGCGAUUUCGUCCGCUUUUUGUCCGUUUGGGUCGGCCGUCCGCCCUGUUUUUGAUAUGGGUCGGCAGCACGCCCAACGCGCCGACCCAUAUGUGCCAGCGUGGCCGGCUGGCCGCCCAAUUUUACAUUGUUGAUUGCAUUCAAACAUAUUGUCAAAUAACAUAGUUUAAACCGAAUAAAAUAGUAUAGUUUUACAAGCCGAAUACAAAUAAAAAUGGUUCACAUAGUUUUGCAAACGAAUAAAAGAAGAUACAUCUAUUGGUUGCCAACAUGAGCCCACAUAUACUCAACCAAAUCAUUUUGCAGUUGCAGGUGAGUUUCCCAAUCACGCAUGUCAUGAUGAAAUUGGGUGAAAUGUUCAAACGUUGCCGCUCCUCCAUGCUCAGGCACAACAUUCUCACCCUGAAACUGAAACCCUUGAUCGUACAGACGUUCCGGGCGCUCGUCUUCUACGAUCAUAUUGUGCAUGAUCACAUAAGCAGUCAUCACCUCCCACAGUUUCUGCGUGCUCCAGGUAUUAGCAGGAUACCGAACGAUGCCCCAUCGAGGUUUCAAAACACCAAAGGCACGCUCGACAUCCUUCCUAGCACUCUCUUGCUCUUGGGCAAAUCUUUUCCUCUUCUCUCCGACAGGGUUGGGUAUUGUCUUGACAAUAGUGGUCCACUAAGGAUAGAUACCGUCACCCAGGUAGUAUCCUUUGUCAUAGUUGUGGCGGUUGACAGUAAAGUUCACCGGUGGGCUGUUGCCUUCGGCAAGCCUAACAAACACCAACGAGCGUUGAAGCACGUUGAUAUCAUUGUGUGAUCCAGCCAUGCCAAAGAAAGAGUGCCAGAUCCAAAGAUCUUGAGACGCCACGGCCUCUACUAUGACAGUGCAAGCCCUGACAUGGCCCUUAUACCUCCCUUGCCAAGCAGAAGGGCAGUUCUUCCACUCCCAGUGCAUGCAGUCUAUGCUGCUAAGCAUCCCUGGGAAGCCCUUACUGGCAUUCAUCACCAACAAACGGGUUGUAUCUUCAGCUGUCGGCUCUCUCAAGUACUUAGGGCCAAACACAGCAAUAACAGCCUUGCAGAAUUUAUACAGGGACUCUAGGCAUGUAGACUCACUCAUACGGACGUACUCGUCAAUGAGAUCACCGGGCACUCCGUAUGCAAGCAUUCGGAUGGCGGCAGUGCAUUUCUGAUAAGAGGAGAAACCGAUCUUGCCGACGGCAUCCUCUUUGCACUCGAAAUAGUCGUCAUAGCCGACCACCCCUCUCUAAUACGGUUGAAAAGAUGCCUACUCAUACGGAAACGGCGGCGAAAUUUUUGAUGUUUGAACAACGGGUUUGUUGUAUCAAAGUAGUCCUUUCAAAAAAGGAAAUGCCCGCUCUCUCGGUUGCGAUUCAACGCCGGAAGGUGGCCCGGAAUGGAGCCACGGAACAACGGCCGCUGGCUGUUGAGGUGGUGAUGGACCAACACGGCAGCCAAUAUCUCCUCCACGUCGUCGGACGACGAAUCGUCGGAGUCGCAAAGGAAAUUGUGGAAAAAGAACUCGUCGGCGGAGUCCAUUUUGUACCUUGGCAAACUGUCGAACAGCUUGCGGGCGUCGACGAAGGAGACGGCCGGCGAGGGGAGUCACGGCGCGCACGGACCAGCUAGCUGUCCUGCCGGCGUCCGACGAGUGGGCCGGCGUCCGACGAGCGUGCCGAUGAGGAUUUGGCCGGGGCGGCGAGGCGGCUUCUUGGUUGCGGGCGGCUGUGCGGUGGGGGGAGCACGGGUGGGAAGCAGUCGGCUCCCCGGCGGCAAAUGGCGGUGGCGGGCGACGGGGGAGUGGGCGGCGUUGCUGGGCGGAUGUGGAGGCGGCGGCGGCGGCUGGCAGAGUCGCCGGCAAAAAUGGGCGGCGGCGUCGGCGACGAAGGAGGCGGUGAGGGUUGUUGUUGGAUGGGGGGUGGGGGAGGCCAAUGUGCCACCGAUCAGCGGGCCUGAAGAGAGAAGAAGGCAAGCGUGCGCACGUCCGUCGCGUGUCCGCGCCGACGCAAAUCCGGCUUAAAAAUAAACCGGGAAUGGGUCGCCUGCGGACGAAAAGCGGACGCGCGUCCGUUUGGGUCGACGCGUUGUGCCGCCUUUUGUGUCCACGCCGACCCAAACGGACGGCGGCGGACGAAAGGUCACCCCAUUGAAGUUGCUCUAAGGCGCCGGGCUACACAUGCUCUAAACAUCCCUUCCCGUGGACGCUCUCAUGUAGCACGGUCACCAUCACCCGCAAGCCGCCGAGCCACCAGCGACGACGACGCUAGUAUUUCUUGUGUAAGGCCUCAAUCCCCUCUUCCCCUGUGCGCCGCCGCGAUGACCACAACAUCUCAACAUCCGUGGAGGACGCUGUCAUGUAGCGCAGUCGUCAUCAGCCGCUAGCCGCCAGCGACGACGACGCUAGUGAUUACUAUUUUGGAAGGCCUCAGUCCCCUGCUCCCUUAUCCGCCGCCGGCGACGACCGACGAAAACAACGUCUGAACAAUUGAACAUCCCUUCCAGUUCCCGUGGAGUGGACGCUUUCAUGUAUCACGGCCGCUGUCAGCUGCUAGCCGCCAGUGACGACGACGCUAGUGUUCCUUUCAUCCUGAUACGUGUGAUAACGACGAGACGUAGUCCUCGUUCUAGGCCAUCAUAGUCGUCUGCUUACGGAAAGGUAGAUGUAUAAACAUCAGUGCAGAUUCACGUUGUAUUACUUAUUUAUUCACACUCUCUCUCACUAAUCAAGACGGUAAUCGUUUUUUAGUAUAUAUGCUAUCACAAGAAAUGGUACACGCAUGCCCUCUCAGCAAAAUGCAAUGCGUGCUCAAUUAGGGCAUCUCUGACCCACAAAUUUAUUCUCGCAUCCAUCCACGUAUAUCUCGAACCAAGUUUCAACUAACUGAACAAAGUUCAUGCAAACACGGCAGAUUUUUAUAUAAACCGUACAAAUUUAUUACAUUUAUUACACUUUUCAUUAAAAAAAGUGGCCGGACCCUGAAGCUAUCCUACGGUGGCGCCCGCCGUUCACCUCCUUUGUAUUCGGCAUUGGUGACCACGUCCUUUAACUGUUGUGUCCAUGAAUGGUGGCGGGUUCAAGACCCGUGAAGUGGAGAUGCGGUCUCCGGCGAGGAAAACUAGAACAUGGGAGACAGACCGGCCCACUUGGGACACAAUGCACUGCCGCCUCCCAUGCCCUAGUCAUCCUCGGAGGAGUCCGUGACCCGUCCGUCGCUAAUGCCGGUAGACAUGAGGUUGAUGAUGGACGUGGACGGUCCGUCACUGUCCACCUGCCACAUGCGCCCCCGAAAGUUGGACGACGGCGCGUAAGACGCGCAGCUAGCAGCGUUCUCGUCCUUGACCGCCAGCACUGCGUUGUGAGUGACGCGUUGAGCACGCGCGGCCUCGUAGAGCGUCUGCUGCUCCACAACGAAGUUCGGGUUCGCCGCGGAGACGGUGGACACGGCCUUCUCGCUUGCACGCUCACCGUAGAUUUGGCCCUUCACCAACCGGUGUUGUCGAAGAGGAGCAGGUUGUACAUUUGCUCCUCCUAAGCCUGCCGGAAUGCCGACAUAGGAGCCGCGCAAGCGGCUCCUCAUCCGCCAUGGCGGCAUCGCAGUGCGCCUGCGCCUGCUCCAUGGUCAAGCCGGCAUGCACCGGUGUGGUGUCAUCAUUGGACCUUGUCUCCAUUGCGGGGUCGUCGUCGGAGACCUCGGGGGAGCUGGCCGGCAUGACGGCCUCAAUCCUCCUGGCACGGCGGCAACCUCGUGCUUCAUCUUCGUCGAUAGGCUCUCCCACAGAUUGUUCCCGCUCGCGUUCAUGGUGGAUGUGGUGCAAUGGAGGAGGAUGUGGAAUGGAUGUGUUGUGGUGUGGAGUUUAGCCGGGUGUGGCCGCGGUUAAAUAGCGGAUUCUGGUGAGGCCAAGCGCCCGGGUGCAUCAGUGUGCGGCAGCUGGCGUCGGGUGGGAACGCACAUGGACGAAGGAGGAGGGUUUUUGAUGGGCCGGGGUAGACAUGNNNNNNNNNNNNNNNNNNNNNNNNNNNNNNNNNNNNNNNNNNNNNNNNNNNNNNNNNNNNNNNNNNNNNNNNNNNNNNNNNNNNNNNNNNNNNNNNNNNNNNNNNNNNNNNNNNNNNNNNNNNNNNNNNNNNNNNNNNNNNNNNNNNNNNNNNNNNNNNNNNNNNNNNNNNNNNNNNNNNNNNNNNNNNNNNNNNNNNNNGGACUGGCCUACAGACCGAUACAGGAUCACAUUGGUUGGCAAAACACGUCUGGUCCGGAUGUAUGCGGGCAGUUUGAGGGUCGGCGUUGGAGAUGUCCUUACUCGAUAACAAAUAAACUCCUAUAAUAGACCCUUUUUGCGAAAUGGCCAAAGGCACCUCUGGCUAUAUAAGGGCUAAAAAUAUAUAUUACUCCCUUUCAUAAUUUUUGUCAUGGUUUUAGUUUAAAAUUUUGAACUAAAACCACGACAAGAGUUAUAUACCGUCUCACAAACAAACAUAUAUACUCACUCACCAGAAAAUGUCUAUAUACUCACUCACAGAAAAUGUAUAUAUACGCACCAGGAAAAAAAAUACCCAUUGUGUAAAAAAGAAGGUAUAUACUCUUUUAGUUUCUAAGUACUAGUGUAUACCUCAUCUCAAAGUAGUACAAACACAGCACAAUUCGCUUUUUGUGGGCUAAGUCGCCUGACACACAAAAAUAUAGUAUAACAUUGUACCCUCCUUGGUUGCAAGUAAUCCCACCAAAAAUCAUUAGUAUAUGUUCAAAGUUUCAGACCCGGUGGCAUCUAAAAAAAGCUACUUAUACUUCUCUUGAUGGAACAUAUACUGCAUGGAAGGCGGAAAACGUGAACUGUGAGCAGUACAAAACGUGGAUAACAUCCAAGCGUUUCUGAUUUCUAGGGAGUAGGUGUGCACUCGUAGCAAUUAGUUAGAUUAUUUACUAAUUUGCAUCAUAGUUUUCACUCUAUUGAAUACUAGAUGAUACUCCCUCUAUUUUUAUUUACUCUGCAUAUUAGAUUUGUCUGAAGUCAAACUUCGUAAAGUUUGACCAAGUUUAUAGAAAAGAAUAUAAGCCUUUAUCAUAACAAAUCCAUAUGAUGUGAAAGUACAUUUAAUAAUGAAUCUAAUGAUAUUGAUUUGUUAUUGUAUAUGUUAAUAUUUUUGUCUAUAAAUUUUUUCAAAGUUUACAAAGCUUGACUUUGACCAAAACUAAUAUGCAGAGUAAGUAAAAACGAAGGGAGUACUUGGCAUGUUGUUGUGAAAAUGUGUUACAAUAUAUUCAAAGUGUUGCAUUUAACAUGAAAAUUUUGAGUAAUAAUAUAAGAACUAAAACUAAUAUUCAUAUGAUUUAUUGUGUUUGAUUAUUGUAUAAUAUAAAUAUCAUAAUAGAAUGAAAAUAGCAUGCAUAUUUGCAUGUUGAGGUGUUUUUUUAUAGAUAGUUGUACAUGUUGAGGUGAUUUUUUUAUAGAUAGUUAUAUGUUGAGCUGGAACUUUUCCCAUUCAUGUUAAGAUAAAUAGAUUAGUGGAGCUAGCUAUUUAAAUACAGAAGAUAGUCAUCCCGUCCAGCACAUUCACUAACGACGGGAGUACAUACUCCUAGGACUAGGAGUAUAAAAGAGGAGUCUUACAACGGGGUGUGGUUAGACUCACAUCUCAUAUAUUUUCAUGUGAUAUUAUAUAUACUACUCUAUCCGUAAAGAAAUAUAAAAGUGUUUAAUAUGUUCAUAUACCAUAUCUAAAUAUACUUUAAAGCGAGCUAUAUCAUAUAUCUAAGAUACCCCAAGUGAACUAUAUGAAGAAAAAAAUCUAGGAGAGCCCAUAAUUUUUACUAGAUUGGUAAAAUACGUACACAUUAGUACUUACAAAGAAUAUGUAUAUACAAGCACCCAUUAAGACCUUAUUCUACAAUAAAGAAAAAGUUACUCUACUAUCAAUUCUGAACUACAAAAACCCACCAAACCGAACACCAAAACAGAUCAAAAAAAUCCUCAAAACAACGCACAAACUGGUGCCAUCUUCUCGAUCGUGCCCCCCCCCCUUCCACGACCUAACAUUACCUUCCCGACCUCGAACCGGGUCGUUGCCGCCACCAUGGACCAGUCGGUGUCCACCCCGUGACCUUCCUUCAGGGAGCCGCUGUGCUGGACCGCCUACCCCCGGGUCACCACGCCGCGCUGGGACACCCCGACCCCGGGGCUGCGACGCUCGAGAGCAACCAAGGGAAAGUCAUUUAUAUUAAGUGGGUCGAUGCCAAAACAACAGUUCACAUCACUAUUAAUGCUCAUCGCUAGAAACAUAAUAAUAAGAAUACAUUAAGCAUGGAUUAACCGUGUGACGAGAAGAAUUAUAGACAUGAUUGAUUGUUAUUGUAAUUUGUAUCAUCGUUGAAAAAAAAUAAAAAUAACCUUAUUUAUUCAUUAAUGGCACAUGAAAUAUAUUCAACAGUUGCCAGAUUAUCAUCAUAUUCCACUGGAACAUUUUCUCACUAAAUCACUAACCAAAACUUACCUUAGUUUAAUUUUGAUUAGAGAGACUUGCAAACUCACACAAUGGCUAGCAAGAACAUCGGCUAAUUUAAUAACCAACAUUUACAUAAAGCAACAACAUAAUGUAAUUCAAUUUUUUUUUGAACCAUGCAAGAGAACUGUGUGUAAUAUUAUCACUGAGCAAACAUUAAACUUCACAUUCACAUGAAGAUGUCAUUAACAAUAAUCGUCGAAAAAAUAAUAUAACUAUCCAAGUAAAAGAAGUUGAACAUAGAAAUCACAUGAGGAUUCACAAAAUAAAAAUAUUUGGUGAAUUUUAACAACCAAAUAAACAAAAACAUUGCCAAAUAUCAUGUAGACCAUGAUCAUGAUAAUACAUAUCGCAUAAAAUGUUUUAAACAAUAUUCUUUUAGUAUUUAGAGAAUCAACCAUAAUUUUAUCAAAGAUAUUUUAUGCCAUUAUACUUAUUCUACAACACAUUAAGGAACAUAAAAUGUAUCAACAAAAAUCUUUAGUUUUGCUAAUGAGGCAUAUAUUGGCCAAGUAUUAUUGUGCCACAUGGUGCGGUGCGCGAAAGCCAUGGAAAAGAACUGGUGUACUAUGAAAAAUCCGACAUAAACAGGAAAUGGUUUAUUUGUUUACAACAACACGGCAUGCAUGGACGGGGAGAUGACAGACGCACACACAACAUACGGCCAUGUCAAUGGCCACGGACACCAAGGACGACCGCCGGCCAAACCAUGUCCGGCGACUAAAUCACAGAGAAAAAAGUAAAGAUGGAACUGAGCAAAGCCACGGUAAUAGUCUUCCUUCCGCCCAAAUGCCCUGGAUCUGUUCCUGAGUUCUUCCUGCAGCACGGUUGAUGGAUCCUGGCGGCUAGAACUUGUUGCUGUACCAGAAGAUCCCCUUGCUGUCCUCGCGCUCGAUGUACAAACACUCCUUGGCCUCGCGCCAUGUGGCCUUGGCGAGAGGGGUGCGGUCGAUCUGAUAGUACUCGCCGAGGAUGGGCUUGAUCGCCUUGGUGGCCUCCAUGGCGUGGUAGUGCGGUAUGUUGGAGAACAGGUGGUGCAAGAUGUGCGUGUCCGUGAUGUUGUGGAACACGCGGUUGAGGAUGAUGCCGUAGUCGCGGUCCAUGGUGGCGAGCGCCCCGCGCAGCCAGUCCCACUCCGUCGAGUCGUAGUGCGGCAGCGCCGGGUGGGUGUGGUGCAGGUAGGUGACCAGGACCAGCCACGCGUUCACGAUCAUCAGCGGCACGCCGUAGACCCGCAUCAUCCACCAGAACCCGAACGUCGACACGAGCUUCAACAUGGCGAACGACACGGCCAGCACGCCGAUGUCAGAGAUGAAAAUCUGGGCGCGCUCCCGGUCGUUGUAGAUCGGGCUGUAGGGGUCGAAGUGGCAGGCGAAGCGCGGGUACGGGCGGCCCCAGGUGUUGAGCGACAGGUACAUAUACCACCCAAGGGUGAGCUGCACGACGAUGAGCACCACACGGACGACGGGGUUGUCGUGGAUAUAGGGGGUGUACCACGGCAGUGCCUCCUUCGGCCUUGGGACGAACACCUCGUCGCGCUCUAGCGACCCGGUGUUGGAGUGGUGGCGGCGGUGGCUGUGCUUCCACGAGAAGUAGGGGACGAGCAGCCAUGAGUGGAGCACCAGGCCGACGACAUCGUCGAGCAGCGGGUAGUCGGAGAAGGCGUGGUGACCGCACUCAUGCGCGAUCACCCAGACGCCGAACAUGACGCAGCCCUGCGCAACCCAGUAGAGCGGCCAGGCGCCCAGCUGAAGCAUGCUUGGGAGGGCUGGGAUCCAGACCAGCGCGGCGUACAGGAGCGCCGCGACGAUGACGAGGUCAUGGACCAAGUAGGAGGAGGACUUGACCAGGGAGCGCUGGAAGCAGUGAGGCGGGAUUGCCAUCUUGAUCUGGCCCAGCGUAAACGGCGGCUUGUCCGUCGGUGAGCGCUGGAAGACCGCGCCCGCGCCCGUGCGGCCGAGCAGUUCCUGCUUCUCCCGCUCCUUCUCCGUCAUCCUGCCUCCGGCACCCAUGAUGCUGCUCACAACAACAACAACAACAACAACAACACCCACUGGUGAUCAGACAGUGUCUAUGAGGGUAUAUAUGUACCAUUCAUUUCAAGAACGAUGAUAUAUUAUGCCUUGUGUGUAUAUAUGUUUGUUAUAAAUGAGGCUGCGCGAUAUCUGUCUUGCCAGAAAAAUAAGGAGUGUCUGUUUGACACUCAACAGGAAUUCAAUUGAGCUUCAGUCAAAGUUGCACCGCAGACAUUGUCAAAAUAAAGAGUGUAUGUUUGACGGGACCGGCUAUAGCCCAGGCGACUGAAUUUUAUUUUAGGAUCAGUCACUUUUUUUCUAUACCACCCCACGUAUUCAUCCCAAGGCAUGCAUGUAAAUUAAAAACUAUGCUAGGAUGUGACUCAAGAGCCGUACAUGCACACAACAUGCACACCGCCCACAUGCAUAUAGACACAUGCACCGCAGACAUGGCAUUCUUGUUAAGAACCUGGUAUCUCUCUCACGAUCUAUAGGAUACGAGCUUGGAUUACAAGUAGCAAUGGAGGUACAAGAUUUGAGGAAUCAAGAAGAACAGGAGGAAGAGGACCAGAGGUAGGAGACGGGAGCCGCCGUGCCGUUUCGCCUGAUCCUACGCGGAUACCUUCGCCUGAUGCUUUGGCCCUCCUACUUGUAGUUGUUGCCGUAGGGAGCCGGCUGGGCCUAGCCCAUCACUCUCAGCCCAUGACUGGAAAGGGGGCUGACAUCCCCUCCCCCUUGAAAGCCGGCUUGCCCUCAAGCCGGUAGCGAGUAUCUGGGGGACGGGAGCACAUGCUCGGUCGUGCACCACGCGUUGCUUCUUCGCUGACUUGAGGACCCGGCACGAUCUAGUCACCGACAUCCCUCCCUGGAUGAGACUCGGCUUGACCUCAAGCUGACACCGCCGAGGAUCUCCUGGAUCCCAUGGCGCUCGAUGUUCCCAGGCUUGGUUGGAGCCGUUGCGGUAGCUGAAGUCGAGGUAGACUGCAACGAUGGAGAGGUAGUUGUUGUGGCCGAUGAAAAUCCCGUCGAAGAAGGCGUCGUAGUCGUUGUCGGCACCGCCACGGUUGAAGUCGAGGUAGCACUUGCAGUCGAUGGAGCUUUGUGUGAAGACGAUGACGACAAUGAUGACGCUCCUCCCUCCUUCAUAGGACGCUUGUCGAGUCAAUUCCAGUAACAUCAAGCAUGUCGGUCCGCCAGGAUCCCAAGAGGUGCCCAUCCGGUAGAUGCCCCUUUCGAUCUGCAACACCACUAUAGCAGAAAUGAACAGAAGCAGGCGACACCUGUUGUUGUAGUCAUCAGGUUGCAGCUUGGAGGUGUCCAACAGAGGAUGCAGUAAUGUCGCCAGUUCAUACGGUAUAGCUUCAGAUACAACGGCGGACAAAUAGCCAGACUGAAGCACGUAAUAGAAGCAAAAGGCAUAAGGAACUCCCAGAAGAAAAUCAGUAGCAAUUGAACUGGUACGCAGUUGCGGCUCAUGCAGGCACAGGGCUGCUGGAUCAGGUGGAUGCUUGCAACAGAGAAAUAACCCCCACACCUGAUUAGUUUUGUUCGCAAACAUGUCAACAACAGGAGCACUGACUUCAUUCAGGUUCAGAUUUGCUUGAGAACAACCAACCUCAAAGUAACAUGCUGGUUGUACACAGUGAAUACCUGAUGGUUUCAGCAGUUUUGACCCGGUUUCUCUAUGAACUCUGUGACACUUGAGGCAUCCAUUGUCCGGCAGAAGAUUACAAGGCAGCAUAAAAUUGUUUUGUGAAUUCUUCUCCAUGCAAGGGUCAUAAUCUUCAUGGGGGGCAGGUGGUCUAGGGACACAGAGCAUUCUUGUUGCCUGCAUUCCCACUCCCCUAGAAGUUGCUUGCACUGUGGGUAUUUUUCUCUCCAUAAUUCCCUCUUCCCUCAAGUAAAUAAUUGCAGUAUGGUGGCAGUCAGACCAAACUGAACAUGGUUCCUCAAGAUAGUCCGCUUCCGAUCGAAACUUAAUUUCCCUUCGACUCAAAAAUGACCAAUUCACUGACAUGCUCCUGGUAUGCAUGGCCCUCUGCGAUUUCUCAUGCCAUGGAAUACUAGAUACAACAACAUGCUCGUCGUAGUUAAAUAUCCAUUGUCCAGAGAUGCUAGCUAGAGAAAUCAGUGAUAAUCUGCAGGAAGGCCAUGGUUGCAGCUUGACUGAAGGGGCUAGAAGAAUAUGCAAUAUUCUGAACUUCCCAAGCAAACCACAUUUUUUUGUUUGAUCUGGUCAACGCCACAGCUCAUAAUCAUUGUCAGCAGGAGAUAGUAAAACCAAGCACCAUGUCAUCAUCUUCGGACAAAUAGGAAACAACCACUCGAUUUUUACAAUCCGAGAGAAGCACUGACUGGACUGCGCAAUGAUACACCUAACAUGCCAUUGUGAACCACUGCUAGCAGUAAGAAACCCCAUGGUUAUUCUGAGCAAAUAAUCCCCUGGAUUCCGAGGGAACAAGCAUAAUGUGGAAUAUGAAUCACACUUCCCGAAUGAACACAACUUGCUGGAAUUAGCUUUUACUAGCAGUGGCCUUUCCGGUCGCCACUCAAGGUUAACUGGGCUCAAAAAUUCCUCAAGCAAGUAAAUAACAGCAACACAGCCUAGUUCAUAUUGCGCACUUAGCAUGAAGUGAAGAAAAAUAUUAUUAGAACAUCCUGUGCUUAGAGCGCCCAUUUGUUGUAUGCUCAUAAAUGAAUGUGCGGCCAUAGAACAGGUAACUAGUCCCCGUUCCACAAUACCCAGGUUCAGAUCACCCACAACUUGCAUUAUCGGCUGACUCAGGACAUGCAUAUCUCUUGGCACCAUGGAGAUCAAGCAAGCAAAAGACGGCCAUGCAACAGGUCGUACCUUGUAUCCCUCUGUGGAAUCCUUCAAAAGCGAUGGCCACGGCAUCGGCCGUAGCACUAGCGUCUCGUGCCUGAUGCGCGGAGACACCAUCAUGCUUAAUGAGGACAUAGGUGUGUCACUGAGGCAGACAUGUGAACACUUUGUUGGCAGGGAGUCGUCCAAGUCACGGUUCACGAGCAGCUGCAUAGAAGUGACGACUGAAACCAUGCAAGGGGCUUGAGUGAGCAAAAGCACUUCCUCCAUGUCCAGGGGCACCCGCGGGAUAGAGUCGCCGUUAAUGGCACGAUGAGCAGAGUCGGUGAUAGGCGCCGGGGAGGUUGCUGGAAGCAGCGACAUCAGCAUUGUUGGCGACGCGAGCGGCGGAGUGCCGAUGGUGCGGACGAACUCGUCGUCACCAUUGGAUGGUCCCAAACCCUUGGCGACGUGGACGGUGGUGUCGAGGGCAUGCUGGAUGUCGACUGUGGGCGUGGGGAAGAUGGAAGUAGUGGUGUCAUGGACCUCGUCGACGCUGUCGAUGGUGUCGACCUGGGUCGAGCACUCCGUCGAACAGGUGACGGGCACCAUCGCGAUGCACACCGGGGCUGCAUCAUGGGCGACCCUGGGGAUCUCCUGGGCCUUGGUGGUGGAGGAGAGGUCGCCGGGGAGGACGGCGAGCUCGGUGACGACUUCUGGAUUGCCGCCACCAAUGUGUACUCGGUCGUGCUUGUGACGAGGACGCGGCCUUUGCUGUCGAGGGAAGACUUGGGGGGUGUAUCCUGGACGUGAGGCAGCGUGCUGGUGCUGGCCGCCGUAGGGAUGUUGACGGAGGGGUCCAAGACGGUGGAGUGUGCCGAGGCAGCAGUAUCGCCCGCCAUGAACGCAUCCGGCGUUGCCAUGCGCGUUGGCGGUGAGGUUGGCGCCGGCAACACGUCAGGCGUAGCGUUCCACAUCUGCAGUCGACAGCACCGGAAGUAGAUGCAGCGGCCGUCCCAGUAUGCCAACGCGUGCGCCGCCGCGUGUGCCGAACAAAACCGCACAUCCGCCGCCACACAUGGCUGUCCAUCCUCUGAUAUUGUUGGGGGAUACACCACCAACUGCUCAACACCAAAGGGACCGAAGAGGGAAUGCAUCACCUCAACGGUGAUUGGGUAAAUUGCUUGCUCCACCACCAUGCUGAGAACUUGAUCUGAGGACGUUUGGUGGCUAGACAUUUUGUCAAACAGGAAGAAAGCGAUGACUGGAAGAGACAAUUUGGGGCGGAAAGGGAUGGAGGACUGGCUCUGAAUACCAGAUGUUAAGAACCUGGUAUCUCUCUCACGAUCUAUGGGAUACAAGCUUGGAUUACAGGUAGCAAUGGAGGUACAAGAUUUGAGGAAUCAAGAAGAACAGGAGGAAGAGGACCAGAGGUAGGAGACGGGAGCCGUCGUGCCGUUUCGCCUGAUCCUACGCGGAUACCUUCGCCUGAUGCUUUGGCCCCCCUACUUGUAUUUGUUGCCGUAGGGAGCCGGCUGGGCCUAGCCCAUCACUCUCAGCCCAUGAUUGGAAAGAGGGCUGACAAUUCUCCUCAUUAACCUUUUGGUUGUGGGAUGGAGCAAAAUUAACACUAAAAGUAAUACAAAACUAAAACCAUCUUUUUAAGGAGAAACGAAUUAAGGGCAUUGAUAUUACCUCAAAGAAGAAAGACAAUGGAAAAAGGGGCGACCACGUGUUAGCAGUGGCGUGCCUAGCUGGUGUGCCCAGAAUUUUGAAAAAUAAAUUUUUCGUAUGUAAAAAUUAGCUGAUUUUCAAGGGCACGCCCUCUUUUAUUUUUAUGUCCGCCACCACGUGUGAGGUGUCUAAAAAUUUUCGGUGUUCAAUCAAAUCGCUCUCCACCAUUCGAGCAGGAUCCAAAGGCCUAGCUAGCUUGUUCUUCCACCCUUUUUCUCCCCUUAUAUGAAAACUAAAUUAAAUAACAAAAAAAUAAAAAGGAAAAUAAUAUUAUGCAACUAUGUGUAACAUAAUAGAACAUAGAAACUUACACUUUCUAUAUCCUUCUAUCGCCCUAUAAUUAUAUACUAAAAGAAAAGUAAAGAAAAACAAAAAAAAGGAAGCUUUCUAAGAAAGACUAACUUAUUUGCAUUGGUAUUACCCUUCAAAGAUAAAAAUAUGAAAAAUAAAACAAAUAAUGAAUAAUAUUUGCACACAAUAUACACAGAAAUUGCACUUUUAUCAUAUGCUAAAAUAAUUAUAUAAUCAUGGAUUUUUCACACAAAAAAUAAGUUUUCUAAGAAAAAAUGAAUUAGUGACAUUGCUAUCACCCUUUAAGAAGAAAUAAAAUGAAGAAAAUAAAACAAAUACUUGCAAAUUUAGCACACAAUUUACAUAAAAGUUGCUUUUUUUCCUAUAAUAUGCAAGAAUAAGCAUAAAAUAGUGGAAUUUCUUAAAAUAAGAGUUUCUAAGAAGGAAUUAAUUCGUGACAUUGGUAUUACCAUAAAAAUAAAAAUAAAUAAAACAAAGUAAAAGGUACUGAAGUUCUCUAAGAAAGAAUGAAUUAGUGACAUUGGUAUUACACUUAAAAAUAAAAAUAAAAAUAAAUCAAAAUAAUGAAGUUUUCUAUGGAAGAACGAAUAAGUGGUAUUAAAUAUAUUUUCCUUAAAGAAGAAAGGAAAUGAAAGAAAAACCUGAAACAAAAUCAAAAUAAUGAAGUUUUCUAAGAAAAAAUAAAUUAGUGGUAUCGGUAUUACUCUUUAAGAAGAAAGAAACUAAUGAAAAAUUGCACACAAUUUACACAAAAAUUACAUUAUUUUAUAAUAUGCAAGAAUAAGCAUGUAAUAAAGGAAUUUUGCAAUUAAGAAAUUUCCUAAGAAGGAAUAAGCAUGAUAUGCGAGGUCCACCCACAUAUCAAAUUAUCAAAGUAACGAACGUGAAUCAUAUGAGCAUGAUGAAAACUAACUUGACAACAAUUCUCAUGUGUCCUCGGGAGCGCUUUGCUUCAUAUAAGAAUUUGUCCACGCUUGUCCUUUGCUACAAAAAGGAUUGGGCCACCUUGUUGCACCUUAGUUACUUUUGUUACUUGUUCCCCGUUACGAAUUAUCUUAUCACACAACUAUCUGUUACCGAUAAUUUCAGUGCUUACAGAGAAUACCUUGUUGAAAACCGAUUAUCAUUUCCUUCUGCUCCUCGUUGGGUUCGACACUCUUACUUAUCGAAAGGACUAUGAUAGAUCCCCUAUACUUGUGGGUCAUCAAGGAGCAACGUUAUAUGCUACAGUACUAUGUGCAGGUGCAUGUGCUCUAGUAGAAUUUCCACUUAUUCGGCUAUGGGCGUGAAGGUGCAGAGCCAAAUUAUGAAUAUCUACAGUUGUGUAUGGUGCCAAAAAAAUUAGUUUCAUGAGGUGUAGCAUAUGAUGGUUGAGGAUAAUUGACAGAAUUGCUAGUAGUAGCAUGGUCAACUCCUCUAUCCACCGACAUGUUUGGAUUCAUUGCAAGUUAGUUGUUGAUGAAUAAAAGGGUGAUACACUCUCUUUCAUACUACUAGAAAUUUAACACUGUGUAUUCCAAAUAUAUUAAUCAAACUCAUCAUGUUGUUCAUCGACAUAUGGAUUUUUUAGGUUGCGAUGCAUAAGGGUUUGAGUACACAUGUUGCAUGUUGUUAAAAUUAUAAGACGUUGAAGCAUGUAAAUAAUUUUGCAUCGGCUCUUGCACAUAAUAGAUGCAUGAUUGACAAAACUAAGGCUAGUUGUUACAUUAUGCUCAUCAAAGGAUCUAGCAACACCAACAUAUGAAUUAUUUACAUCUACAUAAGUGAAUUGGUAUUCAUAUUACCUUUAUAGAUUGCAACAACUCUUGAUGACAAUCUCUUCGUAGCCACAAUGAUCACGAUAGACCAUUAUAAAUUCCGUCCCCGGCAGAGUCACCAACAAGUGUGUUCACGCACAAACAUGUCACCGCGUACCCCGGUGUCAAGCAUGAUACUUAAGACACGACGGAGGAGGAGUAUCGUUAGGAGCGUGAUGCGCAAGACACGUGGGCGAGGUCUUUUGACGACCCAAAACCCUACACCCCCAGAAGGGACCCCGUCAAGGCGUAUGGUGGCUAUGGGCUUCCCUAGUUCAACCUGACCAACCCUAGGGCCUUGAGGUUUGCUAUCGUCGAACAUGAAGAACAACGAAGAAAGAGAAGAAGAAAAACGAGGGAGAGAUGACAAACAAAGGUAAAAGGUGGUAGCUUGAUUUGUCGAUUGUUCUGUGUUGUUCAAUCGGUCAUCACCUCUUAUUUAUUUAGGUGGCAAAAAGGACUCCGAACCUCGUCCAAAUCUUACCAAAAUUAACCUAACUCGGAUUUAUGUGUGGGCCUGAGACAGUAGCUCGACUUUGGGAACCCAUAGGCCACACACAAUAUCAGAUUGAAUGACACAGAAAGCUGAUUUGUUCAUCUUGAUGAAACGAAGAACUUUCAUGUUAAACAUUUUUUUCAUCUGAUACCAUCUUGAAGGCGGAAUCACCCCCACAUCCAUCAGAUAUGCCAGGGGGCGGGCGACUUCUACGCCUCCGUCCGGUCUCAACUCCCGAAUAGUCUCGUCACAACAGAAUGUUUGGGAGCUCGGUCAGAUAGUGUGACCGAUUUGGCCGGACAGUGCUCAAAUUCUAAUAUAUGGAUUUAGAUGGUGUGUUAGCAGUGGCGGGCGACCCUAAGAGCAUUGAUCGUCGCUGCUAGGCUUUUCCCGCCCGCCACUGCUAGGCAUCCCUGCAAUAGUGUGUUUAUCCUACGUCGACACUCAACACAAGGAGGGGGUUUUGACUCUAGGCAAAAGAAUGGAACUUCUCACAUUUGAUUCAACUCUGCCUGUUAUAAAAUUGGAUCUCUUCAGACCAAAAUCAAAUCCAAACCCUAGAUUUUGGUCAUGUUUUGACUUAUUGUGUAUACUUUUAAAAUUAAGAGUUUUCAUAAUUAUACUUCAAAUUUGGAUGACUAGGAUAUUCAAGCCUCCAAUAUAUAAAAGGUUGUGUGUUGGGGGUGGGGGUGUGAAUUUGCUUGAAUAGUCCUAAUUUUAGAACUUCAUUUUUGUUGGUCACUUUCCUUUACAACAAAAUGACACACAAAUACAUUGUGUGGCAUGAGAAGAGUGUCACAAGUUAUGUGCCUCACGGGGAGAGAGGCACUGCUCUCACGUUUUGUGAGUGCGUGCUUCUUUUACUUGGAUCAGGAUUUGCAUGGGUUUAUUUUUGUUGCAUCUCUGAUUUGAAUUUCAUCAUCCUUUCACUAGUUAGAAAACAAUCCCUCUAUUCUUGUACCGGUUUUCAGUGUUUGGUGAUUGUAUGAUAUGGUUUGAUUAGAAAUACUUUGUGAUUUUUGGAAGCAUUGUUGCAUUUAUUGUUGUUUAGUCCUCAUGGUCAUGGCACAUCAACUCCGAAAAACAAAUGUUUGUAAAAAAAUAUGGUGGCCCAAUACCAAAGGGCAUGAGGAUCUACACAAUACCAGGAAAGAAUUAAAACCUAUAAAAAAAUAGCUACAAACAUGUCACCGAAGAGGGUCACUUUUGGUAGGGUCUUUAUGGGAACUUUGAAUGACAAACAAAAUGUGGCCAUCAAGAAGUCCAUCCAGCUUGAGGAUGAGAGUAAGAUGGAAUUCAUUGAAUAAGGUUAUAAUCUAGUCUGGUAAGUGGAAGUAGUAUGAGUUUGUGAUGAGUGGAAGUCUGCUCUUUUGAAGGCAGAGAUAACAUUCUGGUGCGUACACACUUGAAGAUAGUUUUAGCAUACAUGCAUUCAGCUGUGUAGGAAAGUAACGCCCAACAUGGUGAUGUCAAAUCAGGCCAUUUUACAGAAAUAUCUUUGUAAUGGUUUUGUAUAUGCCCCCAUCAUGUUUCUUGAUGAUGUCGAUACACUCUUUUGCUUAGUUCUUAAAUUCAUUUUUCCGGACCAUGUUGAAACUAUUGACAAACCCUUUUGAUUACUUCUUUUCUUCAUGUUCAUGCGAACCAGUAUCCUCCAUACAAAGGAUCAUACAUGUGCUAUGUUGGCAGGAAAGAGCAUUAAGGGCAAUGCCCGUCUUUGUUCUUCCAUAGGAAUAGCAAGGCCAAAGUUUUGGCUCUUGAUUGAUUGACUAGAGUCGGAUAUAAGGCACGGUUCCUUUGGCGGGUUGAAAAAUAUACCGCCCCAUCCCUACCUUCUCCCAUAAGCCGCUUUCUAAAUUCGUUGAGGCUCCAACGGAUGGGCGGGGUGACUUAUUUUUGAAUUUGGGUAGGGGGCUAAGUGCUAGCCAUGAACUUUGUGGACCAUCCCAUGAGGACAGUGAAGGGAAAGGUCUCAUUGGUAAAAGAGAACAAUAACUAUAUGUGGUUGGAAGAACUAGGAAAAGGAGAAAAAUAGUGAUAAUUUAUUCUUUGUCGUGUAAGUAAAUGUGUAGCUACAAAUAUGAAAAGUUGCUGCUUUUUUUGGAAUUUGCAACAAUGCAAUGAAUGAAUGACGAAAAUUGAACCCCGGGACUCCCAUCCUAGAGUAUGAACGCUCUCGGGAGAACAUAUCGACCAAAUUAUCUCUCCGGCCUCUCAUUUUUUGUAACAAACCAAGCAUGCCCUAAAGUCCGUCCUUGUUGCCAUGUUGGUGGAUCAAGCCUAGCGUUCACUUCUGUCAUGUUGGAUGGUGGUGGUAAUAGUAAUCUUGCGUCGUUUCAAAAAAAAAAGGCAGGCUACAAAAGAAAUAUAGGUUCUUUUGCCUCCCGCCAGUGCCGCCGGUUCGCCUUGUCUCCGGUCAUGGGGGUGCGGCGGUUCAUGGCCCUUGCCGGUGGGAGGGCUCUGCUUUUAUAUGUUCAUUCAAGUUGUGUUAGGGUUUAUGUCCUACUCAAAAAGGCGAGACAGUGGUGGCUACCUAAAGAUGGAAUAAGGCCCUGUCUAGCCCCCAUUCCGGUGGUGCGGCUAGCAUCGUCGGUGUGUGUGGAGGUGUGUCUUCGGUGGAUCCGUCUUUAAUGAAUUUGCUCAGACCUAAUCGUCAUUCGUCUAUGUUUAUGUGUCUUGAGGUUGGAUCUUUCCGAUCUACGCUACUCUUCACCAGCAACGGUUAUUGUUCUGGUAUGCUUACGGCCUUAGCACAAGGAUUUCCGGACUGACUACUAAUGUACUACAACAGGUUUUGCCCGCCUCCAGCAAGGGAGGGGCAAUGACGGCGGCGCGCCUACAGCUUGUAGUUGUCGCUAGGUCGUAUACGAAUCUGGAUGUAGUUUAUAUUAUUUCUGGUAUUCGUUCUACUGCCAUGAUUGAAGAAUGAAUAGAUUUUCAGGAAAAAAAAACUUAUCUUAGCUUUGUUUAUCAUUGGUUACAGUAAUCACCCGUGACGCGGCCUACUAUCUUGUCUCGAACUGAGCCAGUGAUAUGUUGUACUAUAUGAAAUGUGUUUAAAGUUCUUGCGGUAUUACUAUUACUCUGUCGAAAUGCUAUUAUCCAUUACAAAUUCGAAUUCAUAAGCUAUGUUCCUUUCCAAAACGUGCAGGGCGACUUUGGAUUGGGAUCUACCCCCUCUGUCCCAAAAUUCUUAUCUUAAAUUUGUCUAAAUUCUUAUCUUAAAUUUGUCUAAAUAUGAAUGUAUCAAGUUACAUUUUAGUAUUAGAUAUAUCCAUAUCUAGACAAAUUCAAGACAAGAAUUUUAAGACGGAGGAAGUACUACACUAGCAUUUUGGGUCAAACAAAUGAGAUACUAGUGGAGAUUGCUAUUUUCUUUUCUUUUCUUUUUUUGCUUUUCUCUUGCACAUGGCAUUUUGUAUCUAAGGAAUGCGACACUAACCAAAUGACCUGAAUAGACUGAUUUUGAAGCGCUUGUCCAAUUAGAAGAAUUGGAUGCAAAAAAAUGCAUUUUCCGAGGCACAAAAAUAGAAUAAGAAAAGAUAUGAACCUUCAGCUUGUUAAUUUCUGUGUGCCAAACAAAUUGGUGUAGCCAGUUUACAGAAAUUAGAUAUGGAAGGCUUUUUAUCUCAUCAAUCAGCAGUAUCGCCACAAGAAUUUGUCUUCACCCCAUCCUCGUUGCUAUUAUUAUUAUUGCACUCAUUCUACGAACCCCAUCCCACCAUAAAUAAAAUUACUCUGCCAUUAUGUGGACGUGACAAUCCUAUGGGCCAAAAAAUGAUCACCCUAGAGGUCCAAAAUUGUAAGGAGAAAACAGCCAUUGCAGAGUCCUUUCU